Molecule: ribosomal RNA, 301 nt
Filed under: uncultured bacterium
Lineage: Bacteria
Description: partial 16S ribosomal RNA
Rfam family: Bacterial small subunit ribosomal RNA
Source: RNAcentral
CAGUCGCCGCGGUAAUACGUAUGUCGCGAGCGUUAUCCGGAAUUAUUGGGCAUAAAGGGCAUCUAGGCGGCCUGACAAGUCAGGGGUGAAAACCUGCGGCUCAACCGCAGGCCUGCCUUUGAAACUGUGAGGCUGGAGUACCGGAGAGGUGGACGGAACUGCACGAGUAGAGGUGAAAUUCGUAGAUAUGUGCAGGAAUGCCGAUGAUGAAGACAGUUCACUGGACGGUAACUGACGCUGAAGUGCGAAAGCCGGGGGAGCGAACAGGAUUAGAUACCCAGUAGUCCCUGUCUCUUAUACA